GAUGAAGAACGUAGCGAAAUGCGAUAAGUAAUGCGAAUUGCAGAAUUUCCGUGAGUCAUCGAAUCUUUGAACGCACAUUGCGCCCGCCAGUAUUCUGGCUGGCAUGCCUGUCUGAGCGUCAUUUCAACCCUCAUGCCCCUAGGGCGUGGUGUUGGGGAUCGGCCAAAGCCCGCGAGGGACGGCCGGCCCCUAAAUCUAGUGGCGGACCCGUCGUGGCCUCCUCUGCGAAGUAGUGAUAUUCCGCAUCGGAGAGCGAUGAGCCCCUGCCGUUAAACCCCCAACUUUCCAAGGUUGACCUCAGAUCAGGUAGGAAUACCCGCUGAACUUAAGCAUAUCAUAAGCGGAGGA
This 348-nucleotide unclassified non-coding RNA is filed under the name soil metagenome. RNAcentral's name for it is "partial contains 5.8S ribosomal RNA, internal transcribed spacer 2, and large subunit ribosomal RNA". The stretch from base 1 to 121 matches the Rfam family "5.8S ribosomal RNA", at positions 35 to 154 of the family's 154-position model. The record is from RNAcentral.